CCAAACUUGGUCAUUUAGAGGAAGUAAAAGUCGUAACAAGGUCUCCGUUGGUGAACCAGCGGAGGGAUCAUUACAGAGUCGUAAAACACUCCCAAACCCAUGUGAACUUACCUAUGUUGCCUCGGCAGGACCUACCUGGUACCUACCCUGUAGUUACCCUGUAGCCUGCCGGUGGACUAUAAAACUCUGUUAUUUAAUGGAUAUCUGAGCGUCUUAUUUAAUAAGUCAAAACUUUCAACAACGGAUCUCUUGGUUCUGGCAUCGAUGAAGAACGCAGC
RNAcentral lists this unclassified non-coding RNA (278 nucleotides) under uncultured fungus. RNAcentral's name for it is "partial contains small subunit ribosomal RNA, internal transcribed spacer 1, and 5.8S ribosomal RNA". The stretch from base 1 to 73 matches the Rfam family "Eukaryotic small subunit ribosomal RNA", at positions 1759 to 1831 of the family's 1831-position model. Lineage: Eukaryota; Fungi. The record is from RNAcentral.